GGUGCACCGCCAAACCCUCGCCCUCGUCGUGGUGGACGAGCAAAACCCACCACCCACUCCGCUCCUCCUCCUGCAAGCUUCCUCCCUCCUCGCGGCGAGGCGAGCCAUGGCGGCGCCGUUCCGUUCGUCUACUGCCGCCCCACCGACGCCCUCUCCCCGCAUCUCCUCUUAGCUCGAUCGGCUUGCUAGCUCCUCGGCCAUGUGCUCUAAUGGCGAUUUCUCGGUUUGUUCGCAGGUGAGAGCGCUCUCCUGAGGCCUGAGGGCGGCCUUCGACGGGAACCUCGGACGCCUCAAAGGUUUUAUAAAGAGCCUUGGGAUUCAGAAAGGAAAGACUUAGGGUUGCAAGCGGGUCAACCCGUGAACCCGCUUAUAGGCAAAAUUAGUAGGUAACCCGUAUAAAUGAGUUUAUGGAUCGACCCACUUGCAUCUCUAAGUGCGGCAAAUCGGACCACGACGUGAAAACACACGGGUUAUCACUUAUUUUACAUAUAAGUAGGUUUGCGAGUUGGCCCGCUUGCAUCCCUAGAUGCCGUCUUAGCUCUUAACAAGCAUGGGAUUGGGGUGCUGCACGCCGCGGCAUGCCAGGGCCAUCUGAAUGUUUGCAAGUUCUUGGUGGAGGAAUUGGGGGGUGACGUGAAUAUUGCUGGAAAAGAAGAUAUAACACCGUUUAUGGCCGCUGCUGAGUCUGGUGAUGUUCCUACGGUGGAGUAUUUUCUUGAUCAUAGUGGUGAUGUAACAAAAGCAGAUGUUAGAGGAUGCACAGUUCUCCACCAUGCUGCUGGCACAGGAUGCUGUAAGUCUAACGUAAUUGUCAAUAAUGGAGCCGGUAGUCCCCUGAUGAGUUCCCUUAUCUACCGAUCAUUGAAGUGUAUGAAGCUACUCAUAAAGGCUGGUGCUGAUGUUAAUGGCAAGGGUACAGUUGUAACCCCUUUGAUGCUUGCUGCGUCGCAAGGAGGCUAUACUAACUUCAUUCAGUUUCUUCUGAAGGCUGGAGCAAACCCUAAUAUUCCUGAUGAUUUGGGUUGGUUGCCAAUAGAGCGCUGCAUUACAUGAUUGCAGGGAAGAAGUUGAAAUGCUAUUUCCAUUGACUUCUUCAAUUCCAAAUGUCCCAAACUGGAGUGUCAAUGGAAUAUCGCUCAUGCAAAAGUCAAAUACAAAGCCAAUGGAUCAACAUCAGAAGGAGAGUAGAAAAGUCGUUUUGAAGGCACAGGCAGAUUUGCUAUUCAAGCAGAAGAAUUACGGCGCUGCAGCAAAAAUAUAUGAUCUGGCUUGCUCACGGACCGACUGCAGUUUUGUACGCAAACAGGAGCAUCUGUAGAUUGCUCAUGGGUGAUGCUGAAGGUGCUCUAUCUGAUGCUUACAAAUGCUGAAUGAUGCGGCCUAACUGGGCAAAAGCUCGCUAUCGUCAGGGUGCAGCUCACAUGCUACCCAAGGAAAGCUAGGGAAUUGAUGGCGAUACCUCCAGAUGAGCAGUGAGGCAGAAUAACUGCAUAAUCGUCCAUCAGUAAACUAUAACUAGCUGGAACUUCUUUUCUUAGCGAUGCACUAUUUUGUUGGAUAUGUGAUGAAAUGUAAAGAAUGCACUUCACGGAACUCUCACCAAUCGGCAGCCAGCGACUGUCCUCUCGUAGUCUCGUACUCACCUCUACGAUGGAAAACCAACCAUAAAUCCCUGUUAUCUAUCUGAUACUACUCACAACCCCUGAACAUUGUAUCAGUUCCAGGCAAUUAUCAGAACAUCAGGCUUAUGAAGAAGGUACAGUCAUUUUUGUUA
Non-coding RNA from Oryza sativa Japonica Group (Japanese rice), 1774 nucleotides. Lineage: Eukaryota; Viridiplantae; Streptophyta; Magnoliopsida; Poales; Poaceae. The record is from RefSeq and is a predicted model, not a curated record.